This 660-nucleotide long non-coding RNA is filed under the name Nicotiana benthamiana. RNAcentral's name for it is "long non-coding RNA (NBEN_LNC035841)". Lineage: Eukaryota; Viridiplantae; Streptophyta; Magnoliopsida; Solanales; Solanaceae. The record is from RNAcentral.
GGCGGGGUCUGGGGAUCAACAACAACAACAAAUAUAAUAUAAUUUCACAGGAGGGGUUUUGGAGAGGAUAGUAUUACACGAGCGGGAUCUGGAGAAGCUAGUGCGUACACGCACCUUAAUCCUGAAUGAACUAUUGACAAAGUACUAAGAACAACUGAGAUGGAAAGAGAGACACAAAGAGAGUGAGCAUAUCCAAGUGGCUGCUAUACUACAAAAGGGCUGAAAUAAGGGAAAAGAAAAUGAAUUCACUACUAUUUCAGUCCAGAUUGUAAAAUCUCAGCAGAAAGGUAAAAGCUUGAAUUCGGAAAAAAGAAAUCUUGGCUCAGGUAUUGAAAAUCACCAAGCAGACAACAGAGUAAAAACAGAGCAAAAACUGAGCAAAAGUUAAAAUUGGCAAGAACUUACCAAAUAGAAGAAGAACAACAAAUUCCUUUUAAGGGUUAUUCAAAUCAACAAACCCCACAAAAAAGCACUAAAGAAUUCACUAAAAAGUUAGUUUCUUUAGUGAGAAAUCUUUGCUAAAACUAGUUCAAGACUCUGUUUUUUAACUUGCUGCUGAAGGAGGAAAGAGAGAGGAAAUAAGGAGAUGGGAUUCUAUUUUUGGGUUCAAUUUAAGAUGUUUUGAGAGAGAGAGAAAGAGAGAGAGUUGUGUCAGGUUUG